Megalobrama amblycephala (Wuchang bream) is the source of this 2352-nucleotide RNA transcript. It is a transcript of the gene named thioesterase superfamily member 4, with no coding region annotated. The record is from RefSeq and is a predicted model, not a curated record. NCBI's taxonomy places the organism in Eukaryota, Metazoa, Chordata, Actinopteri, Cypriniformes, Xenocyprididae. The transcript has 8 exons.
ACGACCGUGAAUCUGAAUGUCACACUGUUCACCGGCUGAUCUUGUGUUUCCACCUUAAAGUUGGCUGUCGUUUUUAAACAAUGUUCUGUCGUUAACUAACUGAUUAAGACUUUCUUUAGUUUUCCAGUUUAUUGCUUCAAAGGGACUACGCGGCUAACGCUUGUGUUGAAAUCUGGGCGGUGGAAAUGCCUUCAGUUGAUUACAUCAUUUACAACGAAGUCAUAUUCAUUUGUUGUAGCAAUUAGAUAUCGAGGCUGUUAUCCUGUCUAGAAGAAUAAGACAUCUUCUGUAUUUGUUUUGGAGUGACAGCCACUACAUUCCUCUGAAAACAUGUUAGGACAGAUAGCGAGAAGACUUGGUCAGCUCCACGGCCAGCAGCAGAUCUGUAAUGGACUGAACGGAGUCCGCUUUAAAGAGACACACCUGCACCUGCACUCCUCAUUCAAGACCGUCAGGCCGAUCUCGACGAUUCCGCUGUGGCCGUUCUCUUCUCGUCCGCGGGACUUCAGCCAGCCCAACUCAUCAUGGAGUCCAGAGAUGCGCAAGGCUUACGAUCAUUAUAUUGCGCUCUGUGACACUGACAAUGAAAAUGGCGAGAAAACAAAGGGGCCUUGGAGGAGGUUGCCCAGCUACAACCGAUCCAUUAAAUAUGCUACUGGUGGCAUCCACCUCAGCAAAUUCAUCCAGGCCGAAAAUCGACUUUUCACAAGAAGUGUUAAAGAGCAAGGCGCAACUUUUGAAUAUGUGGUGUUUGUCAAUAAGGAGGAGAAGAGCUGCGUUUGUGUGUUUCAGUCAGGACGUUUACUAGAGGGUGCACCUGGGCAUGUCCACGGUGGAGCCAUAGCCACCAUGAUUGACACGGUGACAGGUACUCUUGCUGGUUACCUGUCAGGACCCAUUAUGACUGCCAAUCUCAACAUAGACUACCGCAAUCCAAUGCCUCUGGGUAGUGUGGUUUUAAUCCACAGCGCUCUGGAUCGAAUAGAGAGGAGGAAAACAUUCAUCACUUGCAAAGUGACCAGCACUGAUGAGUCCAAACUCUACACUGAGGCCACAGGUUGAUGAUCAGCAGGAACACAUGAGGACCAGGAUGACAAAGAGAAACACUCUUCAUCAUUUCAUUCUGCAGCUCUGUAACUCAAUAACUACUAUUUCUUACUCUCACACAGGUAAUACCUUGAAAGGUACAUAAAGUUUAUGGUUCAACAGCAUGGGAAGGGCAGGCCCAGGGAAACUGAAGACAAGGAGAUAUAGUACUAGGAUGACCUCAGGCACCUGCUCGAAGACUCGAAGAUUGAGCCCCUUUAGCCGCAGUGAAAGGAACAUCUGUGGCAGGAGUAACAGCAGUCUUCUUUGCACCAGCUCUGGCUUGGUCCAUGACACAAACCUUUUUUGGAACAUUUGACAUUCCAAUCACAGCUGAAUGUCUUGGAAUCGGAUGGACCGCAAAGGGAUCUCUGGGACCAAAGUGGCCUUGGCACCAGCUCUGGAUUGAGGCAACUUCAGGCGCCAGAUUUGCUACCUCUUCAGUGGCGACACAGAGUUCUCUUUGGGACUAACUGGAGUUUGGUAGACAUUAGUGCUCCUGUCAGACACAGUGCGGAUUGAUCAUAAUCCAACAUGGUAUGGACUGGAGAAUGGCUGGCAUCAAUGUUUCAGUUGGAAGAGGUGCGAUGGACUGGAGUAUGGGUGACAUCGACACUCCGGUUGGAUGCAGUGCAAUGGACUGGAGUCAGGGUGGCAGAAGUCUGAUGUCAGCAAUCCAGACAGAUGUGGCAUGGACUGGAUUCUGGACAUCAACAUUGCUCCAGUUUGAUGCAGUGUUGACUAAAGGCAGGCCGGCAAUGACAUUCUAGAUGGUUCUAAUCAUGGCACCUCUGUGCAACAUUAAACAGUCUUUAAUGCAGACUUUAAACAAAAAAAGUCACCAUGGAGCCAUAUCACGGUCAUCUAAUUUAUCAUUAGGUACUUUGGCUGCAACAGAGCCUCUUCCUCAUCCUAAAGGGGGUCUUCCUGCUGUAUUUUGUACCAGCUCUCCAACAAGAGGUCCAAUUCCAUAACCUGACUUUUUCUUCUUCCUCUACAAAACCAACUGGAUGUGAAAUGGCUUCCACCAAAUUGGUGUAAGAUAAAUAAUGACCAGUGGCUCUCUAAUGGCCAGUUCUCAUGUGGGGCACAAAGCACCCAUUGGUCCAUUUUACUCUGUGGGUGGGGCUACUGCCUGAGCAUUUAUCUCAAAGUGCCUGUACUGCACUUUCAGAAAGAGCAGAGAAAGUGAUUCCUGAAGUUUUAUAAGAAAAAGACAAAGAUUUAUUCCCUCUGUGUUUGAUGAAUAAAUACUUUUGUCGUUUA